RNAcentral lists this ribosomal RNA (497 nucleotides) under uncultured bacterium. RNAcentral describes it as "bacterial SSU rRNA". It matches the Rfam family "Bacterial small subunit ribosomal RNA", at positions 374 to 885 of the family's 1533-position model. The record is from RNAcentral.
GGGGAAACCCUGAUGCAGCAACGCCGCGUGAAGGAUGAAGGUUUUCGGAUUGUAAACUUCUUUAGUCGGGGACGAAGAAAUGACGGUACCCGAAGAAUAAGCCACGGCUAACUACGUGCCAGCAGCCGCGGUAAUACGUAGGUGGCAAGCGUUGUCCGGAAUUACUGGGUGUAAAGGGCGUGUAGGCGGGUUAUUAAGUCAGAUGUGAAAUUCCAGGGCUCAACCCUGGCGCUGCAUCUGAAACUGGUAAUCUUGAGUGCUGGAGAGGAAAGCGGAAUUCCUAGUGUAGCGGUGAAAUGCGUAGAUAUUAGGAGGAACACCAGUGGCGAAGGCGGCUUUCUGGACAGUAACUGACGCUGAGGCGCGAAAGCGUGGGGAGCAAACAGGAUUAGAUACCCUGGUAGUCCACGCCGUAAACGAUGGAUACUAGGUGUAGGAGGUAUCGACCCCUUCUGUGCCGGAGUUAACACAAUAAGUAUCCCACCUGGGGAGUACGG